AGCAGCCGCGGUAAUUCCAGCUCCAAUAGCGUAUAUUAAAGUUGUUGCAGUUAAAAAGCUCGUAGUUGAAUUUCGAGACCGGUUUAUUGGUCGUGCUUUUGUACGUACUGGUAUUAUUGGUUUCUCCUUUCUGACGAAUCUUAAUGCCAUUAAUUUGGUGUUUUGGGGAAUCAGGACUGUUACCUUGAAAAAAUUAGAGUGUUUAAAGCAGGCUCACGCUUGAAUACAUUAGCAUGGAAUAACGGAAUAGGACGUUUGAUUCUAUUUUGUUGGUUUCUAGGAUCGACGUAAUGAUUAAUAGGGGAUAGUUGGGGGCAUUAGUAUUCAAUUGUCAGAGGUGAAAUUCUUGGAUUU
This 354-nucleotide ribosomal RNA is filed under the name uncultured Glomus. Its description in RNAcentral is "SSU rRNA". It matches the Rfam family "Eukaryotic small subunit ribosomal RNA", at positions 569 to 927 of the family's 1831-position model. The record is from RNAcentral. Lineage: Eukaryota; Fungi; Glomeromycota; Glomeromycetes; Glomerales; Glomeraceae.